AGCAGUAGCCGCGGUAAUACGAAGAGGGCUAGCGUUGCUCGGAAUCACUGGGCGUAAAGGGUGCGUAGGCGGGUCUUUAAGUCAGGGGUGAAAUCCUGGAGCUCAACUCCAGAACUGCCUUUGAUACUGAAGAUCUUGAGUUCGGGAGAGGUGAGUGGAACUGCGAGUGUAGAGGUGAAAUUCGUAGAUAUUCGCAAGAACACCAGUGGCGAAGGCGGCUCACUGGCCCGAUACUGACGCUGAGGCACGAAAGCGUGGGGAGCAAACAGGAUUAGAUACCCCCGUAGUCCCUGUCUCUUAUAC
This 303-nucleotide ribosomal RNA is filed under the name uncultured bacterium. RNAcentral describes it as "partial 16S ribosomal RNA". It matches the Rfam family "Bacterial small subunit ribosomal RNA", at positions 507 to 807 of the family's 1533-position model. The record is from RNAcentral.